RNAcentral lists this long non-coding RNA (259 nucleotides) under Brassica napus (rape). RNAcentral's name for it is "long non-coding RNA (BNAP_LNC005422)". The record is from RNAcentral. Lineage: Eukaryota; Viridiplantae; Streptophyta; Magnoliopsida; Brassicales; Brassicaceae.
AGCACUCAAGGCCAAAAGUCACAAAAAUAGCACUCAAUGGGUGGGGUUUAGGAUUUAGAGUUUAGGGUUUAGAGUUUAGAGUUUAGGUUUUAGGGUUUAGAUUUGAGAAGUGAGGUUUUGGGGAUAAGAUUUCAAAUUUUGAAAAAUAAAAAAAUUUAAAAUUUUUCAAAAGAUAAAAUGCUAUUUUGGUCAUUUUAGUUUUUGAGUGCUAUUUUUGUGAUAUAAACUUAGAAAAGUGCUAUUUUGGAGAUUUGCCCAA